RNAcentral lists this ribosomal RNA (712 nucleotides) under Amnirana lepus (Andersson's Cameroon frog). Its description in RNAcentral is "partial 16S ribosomal RNA". It matches the Rfam family "Bacterial large subunit ribosomal RNA", at positions 1668 to 2519 of the family's 2925-position model. Lineage: Eukaryota; Metazoa; Chordata; Amphibia; Anura; Ranidae. The record is from RNAcentral.
UUAUAUCAAUAUAAAAGUAAUUAUGCUAGAACUAGUAACAAGAAAUUGAUUUUCUCCUAAAUGUAUGUAUAAACCAUAUGGACAAACCAAUGGUAUUUAACGCCCCUGUAACUAAUAUAACAACACUUCUCAAGAAAACCCUAUAAUCAUGCACGUUAACCUUACACUAGAACAUUUCAGGAAAGAUUAAAAAAGAGAGAAGGAACUCGGCAAACCUUAGCCCCGCCUGUUUACCAAAAACAUCGCCUCUUGACACAGUAUAAGAGGCCCAGCCUGCCCGGUGACAUAGUUUAACGGCCACGGUACCCUGACCGUGCAAAGGUAGCAUAAUCACUUGUUCUUUAAAUAAGGACCUGUAUCAAUGGCAUCACGAGGGCUGCACUGUCUCCUCUCUUCAAUCAGUGAAACUGAUCCCCCCGUGAAGAAGCGUGGAUUAAAUUAUAAGACGAGAAGACCCCAUGGAGCUUUAAACAAUGUGUUCACACCAUAUUAAUAUACCCACUCACUAGAAGCCCUGAACACAAGUUUUAGGUUGGGGAGACCGCGGAGCACAAACUAACCUCCGCGACAAAUGGCUUAUGCCUUAUCCGAGAGCCACAGCUCCAAAAAUCAAUAUAUUGAUGUCUAUGAUCCGAUAUUCGAUUAACGAAUCAAGUUACCCUGGGGAUAACAGCGCAAUCUACUUUGAGAGUCCUUAUCGACAAGUAGGCUU